Pelobates cultripes (western spadefoot toad) is the source of this 228-nucleotide non-coding RNA. Lineage: Eukaryota; Metazoa; Chordata; Amphibia; Anura; Pelobatidae. The record is from the annotation of a GenBank genome assembly.
GCAGGGUUAACCCUAGAUGGACCUCACACCCAGACCACUUAAUUGAGCUGAAGUGCUCUGGGUGCCUAUAGUGGUCCUUUAACCUAUACAAGGAGCAUACGUUGCUAUUGUGCUUUAGUUGCCCCUUUUCAGGGAUCACUUUUUCUACCUCAAUGAUGGACAAGGAAGUGUUACUUCUAGAGAGAAUAAUGUUUGAUAAGAAGAGCCAUGUUAAAAGAUGAUGAUGAG